This 207-nucleotide ribosomal RNA is filed under the name uncultured bacterium. RNAcentral describes it as "partial 16S ribosomal RNA". It matches the Rfam family "Bacterial small subunit ribosomal RNA", at positions 118 to 329 of the family's 1533-position model. The record is from RNAcentral.
UGGGCAACCUGCCCUCAGCUCUGGGAUAACUCCAAGAAAUUGGGGCUAAUACCGGAUAUGACUGCUGACCGCAUGGUCUGGUGGUGGAAAGAUUUAUCGGCUGGGGAUGGGCCCGCGGCCUAUCAGCUUGUUGGGUGGGGUAGUGGCCUACCAAGGCGACGACGGGUAGCCGGCCUGAGGGNGGCGCCGCACNGNGCNGACACGCCG